UGAGUUAAAAAAAAACGGUUCCAUAAAUUAUUUUGGGCUCCAGAUCGAGCAGCGGGUCUCCCGAUCCGAUCGGGAGGGGGAGGACGACGGCGGCAGGGCUCCGGGAGUCGAGGCACGUCAGGGAAGCGGCUGAGGUCGGCGCCUGAUCCGAUCAGGAGGAGGAGGACGGCGGCAGGGCUUCGGAUGUCGGGGAAGUGGCGGAGGUUGGCGCGAGGCGGAUCCUGUCGGGACCGAAUCCUGCAGAUCGAGGACGCGCGCCGGCACCGAGUAACUGUCGGUGGCGGCAGAAGGGGAGGAGCGACGAGGCGCGCGCCGCAGGAAGUCACGGGUGGGUGCGGCUAUGGGACGAGUCGCCCCUGAUCUGCCACCAGACCUCCAGAGCACCUGGGUUCUCUGCUUUGAAUUUCCUCGCUAGCUCCCAGUCCACCCCGACCUUCACGGGAUCAAUAUUUUGUGGCCCCUGCACUUAGGCGACCAUGGUGAGCGACCAUCCAACAAACCAGCAUGGCUACCUGCUCCUCCUCAUGACCACAUCUCCCUGCGCUGUACCGUGAUGGUCCGACUAGGUGCCGCCGGGCGUCAGCUUCCCCGCCUAGGCCUUGAAGUGGGAGACGGAGGACGGACGCGGGAGACGGAGGGAUCCGGGGUGGAGGCUCGAAGUCCUUGCAGGUGGAGGCGGAGCUCCAUGCCUGGCAGGUAGAGUUCCAAGGCCAUGGCGAGGCAGAUCAAUGCAUCGAUGUCGCUGCCCGCGCGGCGGCGGAUCCUAUCCAUGCCCCAGCCAUUGGUCAUGCUCCUGCUCGGCGAUCCUCUCCGUCGUCCAACCGUUGGUCCUGCUCCUGCUCUUCCGCAGGCCCCGGCCUGGUGGGAGGCCGCCAUACAGCACACACGGUAGGCUGGACGGGAGUACGAGCUCAUCUCCACCGCGCAUAGUGAGACUCUGUUCAUGUUGUACUGCUGGCCAUACAUCAUUUCCUCGACCAUCAAGCCCAGGUGAGAGAUAUUCACCUCAAAGAAAGCCCAGGCGAGAGAGACUCUUAUGCAGGGAGCUUGCUGUAGAUCCGUUUGUUUCUGUUUCUUAACCAACUGCGGAUUUUCCUGUCCAUUAGCUGAUAGUUGGGUACCUUUGAUUGAUUUGACAGUGGAAGAUAUAAUAAUUUCGCUGGCCUGGACUUGGAUGGACCGGUUAGUUUACUAUAGUAUUACUCUGUCAAGGGAUUUUGUUUGCAUAUGUUUAUAUAAUACUCCCUCCGUCCCAAAAUCCUUGUCUUAGAUUUGUCUAGAUACGGAUGGACCUAAUACUAAAACGUGACUUCAUACAUCCGUAUUUGGACAAAUUUAAGACAAGAAUUUUGGGACGGAGGGAGUACUUCACAAUGCUUUACUGCUAUAAUUCAACGCAAUUUAUUUACUGAAUUGUGUAUAAAACAGACGAAGAUGUUGAAUUCUCUUCCAUGUUUCCCAGACUGAAUUCGCAAUGGGAAAGGAGAUGAUUGCGGCACACAAUUUAAAUAUACCAAAAUAUCCUGAAAAAUAUAUUUGGUGUCUAGAAUUCUGUUUGUCUUUGGAUACAUUUUCACGAUUCACUAACUCCGGUAGUGAGUAAAAAUACAUAAAACUACGUGACAAUGUUUUGUAAAUUUUCGUGUCUGUCGUGCGUUCCGACGAUUCCACUAGCAGAGGCCCUCCCCUGCCCUACCGCAGACCACUGUAGUAGCGGUCUCCUUGGAGUCCUGAAGCUGCUCAAGGGCAUCGUCCUUGGUGUGCCUCCUCGAGGCUUGAUGCUUUCUACAGGAAAAAAUGCUUCCUUUUCUUGAGAUGAGGAAAAUUACUUCCCUUUCUACAGGAAAAGAUGGUUCUGUUAAAUAAAUUACUUCCCAAGCUAAAGGCUCGUGGCUCCGAAGUACUAAUAUUCUCUAAGAUGACCCAUCUUUUAGACAUCUUGGAAGAUUAGCAAAUGUACAGAGGGUAUCAGUAUUGCUAGAUUGAUUGGAAUACUGGUGGCAAUGAUCGUGAUCCUUUUAUUUAAGCUUUCAACAUGCCAAGGAGUGAAAGGUUCAUCUUCUUACUUUCAACUAGGGAAAGUGGUGGGAUCUUCUUUUAAUGCAAUAGGGAAUUAUCUUUUUUGUAUCAGGUAAAUAGUUCCUUUCUCACACUUUUUUCAGACCGAGAUCAUGUACUGCUGUUGUGUGGUGUUCUAUGCUCUGCUGUGUUCCUUUUUGCUUUUUUUUGGGCUUCUCAUUCUUCUUUGGCACCUGCGCUCUGCUUGGGGAAACUUUGUACAUGGCAAUACAUAGACUGGAAUUGAGAUUUGGAGCAAUUUUGUUCGUUUUCCUUUGUACUGAUGUUGCCAUUAUUUGUGUGAUGGAGCCGUUAUAUUGUACAAAGGGAAGAGAUAGUGAGAGAGAUUGGAUAGAAAUUACUAACUACUGUAUUUGUGUUGUAAUUGUUUGUUGUCAAAGCUUAUUGUUUAUUGGUUGUUGUUGCAGAUUGUUGUGAUGGAAACUAAAUUUUGAUUAUUUCAAAGUAAUGUCAGGUUGAAUAAUUUGAACUAGAUUACAAAUGUUCAUCUCGAUGACGAUGAGUCUGAAGACGAUUAACAUGAUCAUGCAAUUUUUAGUGACUAAAACAGGUGGGUGAGGUAUUUUUACUCCCGUUGCAACGCACGGGCAUUUGUGCUAGUUUAAUACUAAGAACAUAUUGUUUCAUAUACUUAAAGAAAAUUUGUGGCCAAAUGUCAUGACAUCUCCAAAUAUAAGACCUACAUAUAUUAUAUUUGUAUCAUUUUUUCUGUCUUGUUCUAUGAAAAAAAUGUUAGACCGGAACUCUUCUAGUAGUAAAAGAAUCCAAAUACAAAUAUAUGAUGUAUAUAUCCUGCAUAUAUCAUAAAGGAGUAUGCUGAGUGAGCUUUUACUAUAAGUGUUAUGUUAGUUUGGUAUACGAAGCUAGAGUGCAUUUGUAUACUAUAUGUUUAUCCAUUAGAAUAGUUUAGUACUCCCUCUGCAAAACGUUCUUAUAUUAUGGGACGGAGGGAGUAGCAUAUAUAUUGUCAAUGCACUUUUCAUAUCCUUAUUGAUUAUACACAUUGCAAAAUAAAAUGGAUGUUCAUCAGUUAUCUGAUUUAGUCUAAAGUGAAAAACAUAUCUGUGUCGUCUCUAACUCGCAGUAAGUAACUUUCCUUGAGUAAUUCAUCUUCCGGAAGUUUGCUACUUGAUUCCUCUAUUUUGUUCUCUAAUAAUGCGUGUAUAAUUUAGCAAUUAUUAGCAAUACACUUAUUAGCACACUACACUCCAAAAUAACACAAUUUUUUAAUAUGAAAUGAGCUUAUAUUUCAAGUUGUAGCAGAACAUAAAUAGAUAAAUGACACUGCACUCGGUAUAACAAAUAACAAAAGCGAUAGGUAAAAAAAUCAAGGACAUAUUCCCUUAGAAGAAAAGUCAAGGGCAUAUCACUGUAUAUCCAAGUAACAUGAAAAAUAUACCUUUAGCAAUAUUUUGUGCGACAUAGUUCAGUACCUUCAAGGAAACCUCAGUUAUUUCUACAUCAUCAACACUAAUCAGCACUUCGUGAGGAAGCAGUAAAUGAGCUAAAAGCAUAAGGCAGAUUUUUAGUAUGUCAAUGUGACCCUAGUUGCAGCCCUGAUAUUUAAAGAAUUAUGCAUGAAUUUGUAAUAAAAACACACUGAAACUAUGUUCUUUCUAUGGUCUUAUGGCAUAUCCAAGUUACUACAAUACACGGUUGUAUUUUUAACAAAAAAACAUGACAUGCUUAAAGUUGGUUUAUGUGAGUUAGAAUCAACAUUUCUUGUACAUAUCAAAAGGCUCGACACAUUAUAUUUACUAUUUUUUGGACCUCGAGUUUAUCAUGAAAGGCCACCCUAUAGUUUAUUUAGUUAGAAAUGUGCAUCUCUAAAUAUAAAGUAGGUAUAACGGUGCAAAGCAUUUACUUAAUAGACCAGAUGCUUUAACUGUAAAUAAGAUUAGGAAUGAAGAUGAAUAGAUCACCGUAUGCGUAGGAUACUCCCAUUUUUCGUGAGGACACCUAAUAGCAUUUUGUAACUAUAUAUACAAUAAGAGUGCUAAAAGUCUUACCUAAGCUAUUCCAAUACCUUUAUGUCGUUGUUUUGCAUCAUUUUGAUUGGCAUAGAUUUUUCAAUCCAAAUAUAGAGCAAAUAUUUGGAGGUAUAUAAAGUACUCAGGUGGUCUGCCCAAAUAAUACGUAUAUGAAUAAGUUCACAAUAACCUACCAUAGUGGAAGCCGGUGCGACCCGAAUGAGGAGACUUGAAAGAUGUAGUGGAAAAAGGAAAUUCUUGAAUAACAUGUACUAAGCUAUAGGAAUAUGCCAACUGCAUCACUAAAUGCAUAACAUGGGGACAUACCAAACUAUCUCAGAAAAACGACCAUUACCAUACUCAUCUCGUUCGAGGGCUACAUAUGUAUAAAAGUGAGUUUAAUAAUAUAUAAUAGAAUGACUUUUGUAUUCGGCAAGCAUAAUUUAUAAAAAAGAUUGGGACACUCAGUUUAGCAUCAACAUGUAGAGAUGCCAGAAUUAAAUGCGACAAUAGAUAUCCAAUUAUAGUGAUGUUGUGGCUGUCAUAUGCACAUAUGAGUAAUUUUAGAAGUACCUAACUUGAACCAUGAGACAUAUUAUGUAUAUAUAUUAGUCAAGUGAAUUCUCUGCUCACUAUCUCCUCUAAAAUACCUGUCACCUCACCAAGAUAUAAAUUAAACAUAUAAAUGUGACUGUAUCCAUAAGGCACGACAUUUGAGUUGUAUAGCUCAUACAAGGUUUUUCUAGGUUUUUAUGCAAUUUUAUUUUAAGGAGCAUAGCUCAUGUAAUUCUUCAUCAUCACACAGUGCUAAUGAUCUGUUCAUUUGUAUGAAAAUAUCUCAGGAUUCUCACAUGUAUCAUACAUGAUGUAGAAUUUGAUUCCAAUCGUGUCAUCCGUAUACAGACCCCAAGCGUCCGGUGUUACAAAAAACCGGCUUAAAAGACCACAGUUCGUAUUGUGUGCUAUUAUUCCGCCCAAAAAGUAUAGUGCACUAUCAGAGUUAUGUGGUCGGCUAGCUUAUAGCAAUGUUUUUCUGAGGGGUGAGGUAUAUAUAUGGUUCUAAUGCCAUGCAAGGAGCCAAACCAAAUAAGCUUCUUUGAAAUUAGUAUAUAAUAUAUAGUUCCUCCACAUUGUCUGGAACAUAGCUUGUAGUUGAAGUAUGGAAGACAAAAUGGGGUAUUAACUGUACUGAUACAACUCCAUUCUUUAAAUAAAAGAUAUUACUAAUAAAGAAGAUACUUGGAUCAUCUAUACACUUGAGGUGUUUCUCAUCUGUGGCAGUACUGGAAAACUAUAUAUUAUUUCAAAGUGCUAUUCAUAAUUAACCAUAAGCGAAGGGCAUUUUGAUGUGAAAUAGAAUUAUCUGAACCUUAAGAAUUGCACUACUCAGAUCAUGCUUUGCGAUGUAAUCGUGGUAUAAUAUCAUUAUAACUUAACAGGCUUCAGUCACAUCAUCAUGCAAGUAAGUACCCCCAAAACUGAAACCGAUUACCAUGUUUUUUAUUCUCCGGUUGAAACUAAAACUACACCAACUCGUCCAAUGCAGUUCCCCCAAACACUUCUAAUAUAUCCAAAUACCUUUACAUCACGUGCAUAUAUGCUACGGGAAUAAGAUUCCAAGAUAGGGGCACAUCAUGAUUUAUCACUAUAUUUUAUCAGAUAUGCACCAAGUAAUAGGGCACUUGUAACUGAAAAUGAAAUUACUUUUCUGCAUCCACAGUCGAGGUACCCCAUCUAAUUCGAGAGCAAUAGGCAAUUGAGCAUAUGUGGAUUAUAAUCAAAUCGCUUAUUUACAACAAAACAUGCACAUGCAAUUAGUUAACUAUCAGAACGUGUUUGACUGCUCGUGUUUUUGUGUACCAACUUGGAGCUUACCUCGGAGCAUGAAGGCGAUGGUGCUAAGAGUUGGGUCAUAAGGGCCCGUUCGGAAACACUCCGGCUCCCAGCUCCGCGGAGCGGAAGUGGAGGAGCGGAGCGGAGCGCAGUUCAUAUUUCCGGAGCUGCUAUUCUGUCACUCCGCGUUUCAGCGCUGAGCGGAGCGGAGUAGCCAGAGCGAUGCGUUGCCGAACAGGCACUAAAUCUCUAAGCUUGCUCCGCAACCAUCAUCCUGAGCAUGUGAUCGUCGAAACGUCUACACAUGGUAGCCUCAAGCAAAGAUUAUUCCUGUCGAACCAAUCGUCCACGGCCACCUGCUACAGUUGCGGCCCAAAGGAUCGACCCAUCAAUCGCCGGCUGUUCCGCAAGUUAGGUGACUCCAGCUAAUCGUCCAUACAUGGCAGGUUCCGGUAAGAUAAUUGGUAUGAACUCAAUCAUCAUCCGAUAGCACGACAACAUGCUGCUUCAGUUGUACUACCGAAGUUGCACCGGCGCCUGUGUCAAACCAUCCGAGUAUUCUCCGAGAUGAGGUCCACUCGUAUGUUGCUGGCUCUAUUACUUUCUGAACCGGCCGAUAUUGUAUGGAGACAACAGUAUACGGGGCCAUGCACGUAUAGAUGGAGCUUGGAUGGAUUUUGCCUUAUGCAUACUUGUUUCUAUGUAUGAGCCGAAUAGGACAUCUCGUGGUUAAUUCCACCUACUCAUUGCCGUAGCCACUACCUACACGGAGCUCCUGCUGCUUGGUCAGUGACGAUCUGAAAAGCAAGCACUGGAGGGCUGGCUGGUUGGUGGCGAUCUGAAAAGCAGGCGAUGGAGGCGGCAGCAGCAAGGAAGCAAAGGACUUUCUUCACGAUACCUAAUAAGGCUCUCAUCGUCCUGCGGAAAAUUAACUGUCUUUUAUGAUUUGCAAAAUAAAAUUGUACUGUCUUUUAUGAUUUGCGGAAAACACGCACAUGCAAUUUGGA
Long non-coding RNA from Triticum aestivum (bread wheat), 6889 nucleotides. RefSeq lists it as uncharacterized. The transcript has 3 exons. The record is from RefSeq and is a predicted model, not a curated record. Lineage: Eukaryota; Viridiplantae; Streptophyta; Magnoliopsida; Poales; Poaceae.